Penicillium steckii is the source of this 90-nucleotide transfer RNA. It matches the Rfam family "tRNA". Rfam says of the family: Transfer RNA (tRNA) molecules are approximately 80 nucleotides in length. The record is from Rfam. Lineage: Eukaryota; Fungi; Ascomycota; Eurotiomycetes; Eurotiales; Aspergillaceae.
GCGGGGAUAGCUCAGCUGGGAGAGCGCCAGACUGAAGUUUACUUUAGUCCAUAAAUCUGGAGGUCGUGUGUUCGAUCCACACUCACCGCA